CUAACACAUGCAAGUCGAACGGAAACGAUGCUAGCUUGCUAGCAGGCGUCGAGUGGCGGACGGGGGGGUAAUGUAUAGGAACUUGCCUAGUAGUGGGGGACAACUUAUGGAAACGUAAGCUAAUACCGCAUAAUCUCUACGGAGGAAAGCAGGGGAUCUUCGGACCUUGUGCUACUAGAUGGGCCUAUAUCGGAUUAGCUAGUUGGUAAGGUAAGAGCUUACCAAGGCGACGAUCCGUAGCUGGUCUGAGAGGAUGAUCAGCCACAUUGGGACUGAGACACGGCCCAGACUCCUACGGGAGGCAGCAGUGGGGAAUAUUGGACAAUGGGCGCAAGCCUGAUCCAGCAAUACCGCGUGUGUGAAGAAGGCCUUAGGGUUGUAAAGCACUUUCAGAUGUGAGGAAAAGCAGUCUAUUAAUAAUAGAUUGCCGUGACGUUAACAUCAGAAGAAGGACCGGCUAACUCCGUGCCAGCAGCCGCGGUAAUACGGAGGGUCCAAGCGUUAAUCGGAAUUACUGGGCGUAAAGCGCGCGUAGGCGGAUAUUUAAGUCAGAUGUGAAAUCCCUGGGCUCAACCUAGGAACUGCAUUUGAAACUGGAUAUCUAGAGUAUGGUAGAGGUGAGUGGAAUUUCAGGUGUAGCGGUGAAAUGCGUAGAGAUCUGAAGGAACAUCAGUGGCGAAGGCGACUCACUGGGCCAUUACUGACGCUGAGGUGCGAAAGCGUGGGUAGCAAACAGGAUUAGAUACCCUGGUAGUCCACGCCCUAAACGAUGUCAACUAGGUUGGAAGACUUGAUCUUUUAGUGGCGCAGCUAACGCAAUAAGUUGACCGCCUGGGGAGUACGGCCGCAAGGUUAAAACUCAAAUGAAUUGACGGGGGCCCGCACAAGCGGUGGAGCAUGUGGUUUAAUUCGAAGCAACGCGAAGAACCUUACCUACUCUUGACAUCGUCAGAACUUAGCAGAGAUAGAUUGGUGCCUUCGGGAACUGUGAGACAGGUGCUGCAUGGCUGUCGUCAGCUCGUGUUGUGAAAUGUUGGGUUAAGUCCCGUAACGAGCGCAACCCUUGUCCUUAUUUGCCAGCACGUAAUGGUGGGAACUUUAAGGAGACUGCCGGUGACAAACCGGAGGAAGGUGGACGCGACGUCAAGUCAUCAUGGCCCUUACGACCAGGGCUACACACGUGCUACAAUGGUAAGUACAAAGGGACGCCAAACCGCGAGGUGGAGCUAAUCCCACAAAGCUUAUCGUAGUCCGGAUUGGAGUCUGCAACUCGACUCCAUGAAGUCGGAAUCGCUAGUAAUCGUGAAUCAGAAUGUCACGGUGAAUACGUUCCCGGGCCUUGUACACACCGCCCGUCACACCAUGGGAGUGGAUUGCAAAAGAAGUGGAUAGCUUAACUUCGGGGGAGCGUUCACCA
Molecule: ribosomal RNA, 1417 nt
Filed under: uncultured prokaryote
Description: partial 16S ribosomal RNA
Rfam family: Bacterial small subunit ribosomal RNA
Source: RNAcentral